Molecule: small nuclear RNA, 107 nt
Organism: Eptesicus fuscus (big brown bat)
Lineage: Eukaryota; Metazoa; Chordata; Mammalia; Chiroptera; Vespertilionidae
Source: RefSeq, a predicted model, not a curated record
GUGCUCACUCUGGCAGCACAUAGACUACAAUUGGAGCGAUAUGGAGAAUAUUAGUAUGGCCCCUGCACAAGGAUGAUACAUGAUCCUUGGAAUCUUAAAAAAAAUCA